CACUUCUCUCCGCCAUCAUUCCAGACCCUCCUCUAACCCUAAAUCACCUUUGCCUCCAAAACAAAACAAAAGAAUAAAAUUACAAAAUGUAUCAGCUCAUCAAAUUCAACAAAUUUCUCUUCCAUCAAUCCAAUCAUCAGACACAACAACUAUUUCGACGGAAAAAAUGAAGGUUGCCGGAUGAACAACCACCGUUCAAGCUCCACCGUCACCAUAUUUAUACAUCAUAUGUCAAAAAAUAUAAAAUAAAAAAAAAAAUAAAAAAGACAAAAACAACAAAUUUAAUAUGCAGCUGUGCAGUUUGAAUUGGGAAAACAAAUGAAUCAAAUUUCAACAAUGUUUCGCACUCCAACCAAAUUAGAACCUAAACAGAACCAAGUUAAAUAUUUCAAACAUUUAUUAUUAUAGGAAAAUCAACAAUCCAACUGGAGAAUUGAAAGAAAAUUAUUUUGAUUACAAGGAUCUUAUCAACAACCGAUUCUUCUUCAUUGUUUGUAUAUUCCGGAAAUUUUGAUAAAUGGCUCAUUCGAAUUUACUCAACUUUUAUAAAUACAGAAGAUGAGUUUGAAGGGGAUUGGUCGGAAGGGGUUUUUUGACAUCGGAAGAUGAAGUUAGAGGUUGUGGGGAGGGGAGGAGGAGGAGGAGGAGAAAUGAACGCUGG
RNAcentral lists this long non-coding RNA (661 nucleotides) under Nicotiana benthamiana. RNAcentral's name for it is "long non-coding RNA (NBEN_LNC011401)". Lineage: Eukaryota; Viridiplantae; Streptophyta; Magnoliopsida; Solanales; Solanaceae. The record is from RNAcentral.